Molecule: microRNA, 21 nt
Filed under: Rehmannia glutinosa
Lineage: Eukaryota; Viridiplantae; Streptophyta; Magnoliopsida; Lamiales; Orobanchaceae
Description: rgl-miR7800
Source: miRBase by way of RNAcentral
UAUUUUUGUGUCGUUAUGGUC